RNAcentral lists this ribosomal RNA (376 nucleotides) under Gracilibacter sp. KF-2016-J. RNAcentral's name for it is "bacterial SSU rRNA". It matches the Rfam family "Bacterial small subunit ribosomal RNA", at positions 969 to 1349 of the family's 1533-position model. The record is from RNAcentral. Lineage: Bacteria; Bacillati; Bacillota; Clostridia; Eubacteriales; Gracilibacteraceae.
CCUUACCAGGACUUGACAUCCUCUGCAUUACUCGUAACUGAGGAAAUCCUUCGGGACAGAGAGACAGGUGGUGCAUGGUUGUCGUCAGCUCGUGUCGUGAGAUGUUGGGUUAAGUCCCGCAACGAGCGCAACCCUUAUCCUUAGUUGCUACCAGUAAGAUGAGCACUCUAGGGAGACUGCCGGGGACAACUCGGAGGAAGGUGGGGAUGACGUCAAAUCAUCAUGCCCCUUAUGUUCUGGGCUACACACGUGCUACAAUGGGUAUAACAACGGGAAGCAAGCUGGUGACAGUAAGCAAAUCCCUAAAAGUACUCUCAGUUCAGAUUGUAGGCUGCAACUCGCCUACAUGAAGUUGGAGUUGCUAGUAAUCGCGAAU